CUCACACGCCAGGCCUGGGCGUUGGGUUAAAUCUAUAAUAUACGUUCUUAUCAGUUUAAUAUCUGAAAUGUCUUCUAUCUGAAAACAAUAUAUUAAAUGGAUUUUUGGAGCUAAGACAUGGAAUAGGAGCUUGCUAUGUCCACUCCAUGCAGUGAUCUGGUAUUGCAUUGUCUCCAGGAAUGGUGAAAAAAAA
Small nuclear RNA from Octodon degus (degu), 193 nucleotides. Its record names the gene U2. It matches the Rfam family "U2 spliceosomal RNA". From Rfam's summary of the family: U2 is a small nuclear RNA (snRNA) component of the spliceosome (involved in pre-mRNA splicing). The record is from Ensembl. Lineage: Eukaryota; Metazoa; Chordata; Mammalia; Rodentia; Octodontidae.